CCCGAUGUGGGAAAUUUAAUUUCUGAAGUUUUGGUUGUUGAACUGAGAGUCUGAGACUAUCUAUCAGACUAGCGCAAAUGGAAGCAAUAAGGGUUUAAUGGAAUUCCAAAGCUGAUGGUUUGAUCAACAGUUAUUGAUUCAUCAUCGAGGUAAGAUGGAAAUUUCUUCAAUUCCUCAGUUGUUACGUUUUUGCAUUUUUAUUCUAUUUUGAAGAAGAUUAGCAUCUCAAUCGCUUCAUAGUUGUGUAUAAUUCCAUUAGGGAAUAUUAUCAUGUCCCCUGCCGCACAAAUUGAGAAAUGGUCCCAAAAAAAAUUUCCCACAAAUCCCUGCCAUGGAUCCCUUGUUCCCCCGUGAAAAUUCGGCAAGUAUUCACUAAGCUGCACUUGAGUUUUGGAUUUCCUUAAAUUUUUAGGGUUUUCCAUUUCCCUAACCUGCUUUACCGCGUUUGACAUUCUGAUACAUGAUGGCCAUUGAACUGGGAAUCCUGAAUUCAUGGCUAAUAUGAGAUGAUGAUGGAGAAAGGUGAUGCAAAGAGAUUGAUGGCUCCAUACUUUUCUCUUCCCUUUGAAGCAAAUGUUAAUUAGUUGAACUAUAUUUAUUGGAAAUAAAUA
Molecule: long non-coding RNA, 611 nt
Organism: Ipomoea nil (Japanese morning glory)
Lineage: Eukaryota; Viridiplantae; Streptophyta; Magnoliopsida; Solanales; Convolvulaceae
Exons: 2
Source: RefSeq, a predicted model, not a curated record